RNAcentral lists this ribosomal RNA (467 nucleotides) under uncultured bacterium. RNAcentral describes it as "partial 16S ribosomal RNA". It matches the Rfam family "Bacterial small subunit ribosomal RNA", at positions 28 to 507 of the family's 1533-position model. The record is from RNAcentral.
GACGAACGCUGGCGGCGUGCUUAACACAUGCAAGUCGAACGGAAAGGCCUCUUUCGGGGGGUACUCGAGUGGCGAACGGGUGAGUAACACGUGAGUAACCUGCCCUUGACUUUGGGAUAACUUCAGGAAACUGGGGCUAAUACCGGAUAGGAGCUCCUGCUGCAUGGUGGGGGUUGGAAAGUUUCGGCGGUUGGGGAUGGACUCGCGGCUUAUCAGCUUGUUGGUGGGGUAGUGGCUUACCAAGGCUUUGACGGGUAGCCGGCCUGAGAGGGUGACCGGCCACAUUGGGACUGGGAUACGGCCCAGACUCCUACGGGGGGCAGCAGUGGGGAAUAUUGCACAAUGGGUGGAAGCCUGAUGCAGCAACGCCGUGUGCGGGAUGACGGCCUUCGGGUUGUAAACCGCUUUCGCUCAUGACGAAGCUUUGUGUGACGGUAGUGGGUAAAGAAGCACCGGCUAACUACGUG